AUUGAACGCUGGCGGCAUGCUUUACACAUGCAAGUCGAGCGGCAGCGCGGGGGCAACCCUCGCGGCGAGCGGCCAACGGGUGGGUAAUGCAUCGGUACGUAGCAUCCAGUUGGGGCUAAGCCAGCGACAGUUGGGCUCAUACCGCAUGAGCGCUUAGGAGGAAAGCGGGGGACCUUGGGGGGCCUAGCCCUGGCGGAGCUGCCGAUGCCCGAGUAGCGGGUUGGUGGGGUAAGGGCCUCGCACGGCGACGGUCAGUAUCUGGUCUAAGAGGAUGAUCAGCCACACUGGGACGGAGACACGGCCCAGACUCCUACGGGAGGCAGCAGUGGGGAAUUUUGGACAAUGGGCGCAAGCCUGAUCCAGCCAUGCCGCGUGAGUGAAGAAGGCCUUCGGGUUGUAAAGCUCUUUUGGACGGAACGAAAAGGAGGGGACUAAUACCCCGGUCUGAUGACGGUACCGUAAGAAGAAGCACCGGCUAACUACGUG
This 486-nucleotide ribosomal RNA is filed under the name uncultured bacterium. Its description in RNAcentral is "partial 16S ribosomal RNA". It matches the Rfam family "Bacterial small subunit ribosomal RNA", at positions 28 to 507 of the family's 1533-position model. The record is from RNAcentral.